AUGGCCAGAAUUGGUGUCCUCUCCUCUGUCGCUCUUGCCGGCCUAGCCAAGCUGGACAUGGAUGUGUGGGUGUGCAUGCUCACUGUGAAGUUCGUUCUGGGCGACCUCUUCAGUUCGAUGUGUGUGCUCAUGUGUGGGUCGCCAUCUCUCGAUCCUGCCAAGCUACACCAGCACUUGUUUCCUCUCCCUGCUGCAAUCAGUGUUGUGAGCGACAGACAAGAUGUUGGCAUGGAGCUGGCGACUGGAUAUGGGAAGGGAGCUGCUACUGUAUUUGGUCUGCUCGACAGCUGCCAUUGUGCGUGUACUUGGACGGCUGCAGAUAGUGCAACCGAACGUCUGUGUGUGUUUUUGGCAUCCCAUUUUUACAGUUGA
RNAcentral lists this ribosomal RNA (372 nucleotides) under Triticum aestivum (bread wheat). RNAcentral describes it as "partial small subunit ribosomal RNA". The record is from RNAcentral. Lineage: Eukaryota; Viridiplantae; Streptophyta; Magnoliopsida; Poales; Poaceae.